UGAAACGUCUUGGAAUGCUGCGUGAUCAAUGGACGAUCCAAAUGCUGAGAGAUCGAAUGGUUUGAAUCCACAUCGAAGGGAAAGGGGGGUAAGGGGUUGCAUCUUUUCAUAUUUCUCAGGAAGGCUUGUCAAAGACAACUUUUGCCAGGUCUGUUUACCAACCUGAAGGCGAUCACAGAAUUUGAGAGUGUUCAAUUUGAUAUUCCACCGCUCCUUUGAAAAGGAACAGGAGAAAGAGAUAAGGCAAUCCUGUCAAAUAUACUUGGUGCUGGCAAGAGAAGAGCUAUCUGGAAGGUAUGCACUCCUGCUAUUUAAAUUGAAAUACAUAAAGUUUCACAGAGAACGAAGCUUUCUUCGUCAGACUUUUGCUGUCUGCCCUUUAAUCUCAGGCAGAUCAAGAGUUGCAGGACAUCAGCCACACGGAUAGGCGCUGCUCCUGAUACACUUAACCACUCAUGGUCAGGUCAUCAGUAUAAACAUCAGGCAGUUGUAUGUGAAAGAAAACUGUAAAGAAACUGCUUGAAAUACUCUCGUGUCACUUCUAACAACAAUAAUAAUAUUAAGGAAUACCUUUUUGAAUAUGCCAUCUGCCAAGCAUUGUGCUUUGGUUGUUUGCGUCUUACCUGGAAAGCAGAGAAGCUCUGUCAUUCUUUGAAAUCUUUGUGUUCUGAACUGAAGGGUAAGGAGCAUUUCUGGUUGUCUGCUAGGUAUCAUGGUUAUGAUGCGCUACUUCCCUGUCAAGUAUAAACAGUUUAAAUUGAUACAGAGAGUGGUGUUUUGGCUUUUGUGCAUUCUUUGUGA
Molecule: long non-coding RNA, 801 nt
Filed under: Aquila chrysaetos chrysaetos
Lineage: Eukaryota; Metazoa; Chordata; Aves; Accipitriformes; Accipitridae
Description: lncRNA (ENSACCG00020016113.1)
Source: RNAcentral